This 253-nucleotide ribosomal RNA is filed under the name uncultured bacterium. RNAcentral describes it as "partial 16S ribosomal RNA". It matches the Rfam family "Bacterial small subunit ribosomal RNA", at positions 524 to 776 of the family's 1533-position model. The record is from RNAcentral.
UACGUAGGGUGCAAGCGUUGUCCGGAAUUAUUGGGCGUAAAGAGCUCGUAGGCGGUUUGUCGCGUCUGCUGUGAAAACUCGGGGCUUAACUCCGGGCCUACAGUGGGUACGGGCAGACUAGAGUGCGGUAGGGGAGACUGGAAUUCCCGGUGUAGCGGUGAAAUGCGCAGAUAUCGGGAAGAACACCCGUGGCGAAGGCGGUUCUCUGGGACGGUACUGACGCUGAGACGCGAAAGCGUGGGGAGCGAACAGG